Molecule: ribosomal RNA, 453 nt
Filed under: uncultured Porphyromonadaceae bacterium
Lineage: Bacteria; Pseudomonadati; Bacteroidota; Bacteroidia; Bacteroidales; Porphyromonadaceae
Description: partial 16S ribosomal RNA
Rfam family: Bacterial small subunit ribosomal RNA
Source: RNAcentral
ACGGGAGGCAGCAGUGAGGAAUAUUGGUCAAUGGGCGGAAGCCUGAACCAGCCAAGUCGCGUGAGGGAAGAAGGUCCUACGGAUUGUAAACCUCUUUAGCCGGGGAGCAAUAAGCGCUAUGUAUAGCGUGAUGAGAGUACCCGGAGAAUAAGGAUCGGCUAACUCCGUGCCAGCAGCCGCGGUAAUACGGAGGAUCCGAGCGUUAUCCGGAUUUAUUGGGUUUAAAGGGUGCGCAGGCGGCUUUUUAAGUCAGUGGUUAAAUCGUGACGCUCAACGUCAUCACGCCAUUGAUACUGGAGAGCUUGAUUGCGGUCGAGGUUUGCGGAAUUCGUUGUGUAGCGGUGAAAUGCAUAGAUAUGACGAAGAACACCGAUUGCGUAGGCAGCAGACCAGGCCGUAAAUGACGCUCAUGCACGAAAGUGCGGGGAUCGAACAGGAUUAGAUACCCUGGUA